CCCAGAUCUCGCCGCCGGCCGGCACGUCGGUGCCGUCUGAUCCGCCCGCCAUGCGCCGCCUCAGCCCUCUCCGUGCCGUGCCGUGCUCUCUCCGCCGGUAGUGGUGGUGCCGUCUCAGGCUGGAGGAACCUUCAUUACUGGAGGAACUCUUUGGAUGCCGGAUGCAAAGGUUAGCUUCAGAUUUUACCAGCAAGCAGACGAAGGCGACAGGAGCAUCGACUCCUUAAAUACUGCAGGUAUCUAGUGAGUAUUUGAUCAAAGCAUAGCAGCACACAAAGAAGCAUCUUACUGUGUUGAUUAAAGACUGGUACAUAUUCUACCUUCUACUGUACCUCUGAGGACCAUUCCUUAUGUAAUUAAAAGGUUAUUUACGGAAUUUAAUAUAUGCGGAGUCAGAUCAUUCAUUUUCCC
Molecule: long non-coding RNA, 411 nt
Organism: Aegilops tauschii subsp. strangulata
Lineage: Eukaryota; Viridiplantae; Streptophyta; Magnoliopsida; Poales; Poaceae
Source: RefSeq, a predicted model, not a curated record